CAACACUCAAGCUCUGCUUGGUCUUGAGCCCCGCCGGCAACGGCAGGCUUUAAAAUCAGUGGCGGCGCCACCUGGCUCUAAGCGUAGUAAUACACCCCGCUACAGUGUCCCGGUGGCUGCUUGCCAGCAACCUCCAACUUCUAA
RNAcentral lists this unclassified non-coding RNA (144 nucleotides) under uncultured Xenochalara. Its description in RNAcentral is "sequence contains ITS2". Lineage: Eukaryota; Fungi; Ascomycota. The record is from RNAcentral.